GCGGUACUAGACCAAUGGUAGAGUCAGCGGCUUUAAACCCCGUUCAGUGAGAGUUCGAAUCUCUCGUGCCGCACCA
Molecule: transfer RNA, 76 nt
Filed under: Patescibacteria group bacterium
Lineage: Bacteria
Description: tRNA-Leu
Rfam family: tRNA
About the family: Transfer RNA (tRNA) molecules are approximately 80 nucleotides in length.
Source: RNAcentral